UUGAAAUGUUUUGGGGAACUACUGUUGCUGGCCUUUUGUAACAAAAAGGCAUGUGCACGUAUUCUCUAAUCUAUUCAUCCACCUGUGCAUCUUUUGUAGGGGGUUCUUUUGGAUUGAUCGGUAGAUUUUCUCUACUGUUGAUUUGAAGGGAUUUCCUAUGUCUUAUAAACAAGUCAAGUAUGUUAUUGAAUGUCAUUUACUGGGGACUUUAUUGGACCCUUUAAAACUUUGUA
RNAcentral lists this unclassified non-coding RNA (233 nucleotides) under uncultured Gymnopus. RNAcentral describes it as "sequence contains ITS1". The record is from RNAcentral. Lineage: Eukaryota; Fungi; Basidiomycota; Agaricomycetes; Agaricales; Tricholomataceae.